RNAcentral lists this ribosomal RNA (741 nucleotides) under uncultured Candidatus Poseidoniales archaeon. RNAcentral describes it as "bacterial SSU rRNA". It matches the Rfam family "Archaeal small subunit ribosomal RNA", at positions 102 to 857 of the family's 1478-position model. Lineage: Archaea; Methanobacteriati; Thermoplasmatota; Candidatus Poseidoniia; Candidatus Poseidoniales. The record is from RNAcentral.
GGAUAACCUGCCCUAUUGUCUGGAAUAACCUCGGGAAACUGAGAACAAGGCCGGAUAGCCCACAAUGCCUGGAACGGUUUGUGGGUGAAGAUAGGAUGGGUCUGCGGCGUAUCAGGUUGUAGGGGGUGUAAUGGACCUCCUAGCCAUCGACGCGUACGGGUGUUGGGAGACAUAGCCCGGAGAUGGAUUCUGAGACACGAAUCCAGACCCUACGGGGUGCAGCAGGCGCGAAAACUUCACACUGCAGGAAACUGUGAUGAGGGAACUCCAAGUGCUAUCACUAUGUGGUAGCUUUUCUUGACUAUUAAUCGGUCAUGGAAUAAGGGCUGGGAAAGACCGGUGCCAGCCGCCGCGGUAAUACCGGCAGCUCAAGUGGUCGUCGCUUUUAUUGGGCCUAAAACGUCCGUAGCCUGUUUGGUAAAUCUGUGGGUAAAUCAACCAGCUUAACUGGUUGAAUUCUGCAGAGACUGCCAGACUAGGGACCGGGAGAGGUGUGGGGUACUCUAGGGGUAGGGGUAAAAUCCUGUCAUCCUUAGAGGACCACCAGUUGCGAAGGCGCCACACUGGAACGGAUCCGACGGUCAGGGACGAAGCCUAGGGGCACGAACCGGAUUAGAUACCCGGGUAGUCCUAGGUGUAAACGCUGUGAACUUGGUGUCGGGGAUCCGUAAUGGGUCCUCGGUGCCGGAGUGAAGAUGUUAAGUUCACUGCCUGGGGAGUACGGUCGCAAGGCUGAAACUU